Molecule: transfer RNA, 64 nt
Filed under: Ujna puerana
Lineage: Eukaryota; Metazoa; Arthropoda; Insecta; Hemiptera; Cicadellidae
Description: tRNA-Cys
Rfam family: tRNA
About the family: Transfer RNA (tRNA) molecules are approximately 80 nucleotides in length. Their secondary structure includes four short double-helical elements and three loops (D, anti-codon, and T loops).
Source: RNAcentral
AAUCUUAUAGUUUAAAAACGUUAAAUUGCAAAUUUAAAAUUGAGUUAAAAUUACUCUAAGAUUU